AAACCUGAGACAAACAUAUAUACACACAACCAAAUUGUAUAUUUUGGUUUGCUUGAAGAUCUAUACAAGAUCUCUUCUACAAGAUUUUCCCUCAAAAUCUUUUUCUUGAAAAUCUUAUCAAGAUCUCUACAAAAUCUCUUGUCUCAAAAAAUGAAACCUCUAUCUAUAAGAUCAUUCUCACCUCCCCACUCUCUCUAAAUUCAAACACUCUCUCUCUCAAUUAUACUUACCGGCAACAAAGCAUAUGAAAACCUUUCAUCUUUACAAUCCCAUCUCUUAGUUAUAAACAAAAAAAAAACAUCAGAACCAUUUAUCCCCUUCCCUAUCCCUCUCGAUUACAUUAAACAACAUAGAGAAAUCCCCUUCUUUACUCACAAAACCCUCUAACCCCCCCCCCCCCUCUUUCUCUCCGGUAAACACCUACUAGUCACCGGAAACCAAUCCGACCACCACCAUCUCCGGGUGGCAACAGAGGAGAGCAACACCGCCACCAGGGUGGUGACGAUGACAAACCAGAGAGACGGAGAGAAAGAGACUGUUCGAGUUCUGUGGAGAACGAGAGAGAGAGAGAUGAAGGCGUCGGAAGUGGAGCGGCGCCACCGUUCACGGCGGCGGCAGUGGUGGUGACGGUUUUCCUUCCCGGUAAGCCAAGAGUUUUAUUUCUCUUUCCUUCUCAGAUUUUAACUCGAUACGUUACUUUUAUUUUCUUUCGGGUGAGUGAAGAGGUGCCGAUGAAGAUAAUGUUGAAGAUGAUUAAGGAUGACGAUGAUGGUGCUGGUGGCCGGCACCACCGCCGUCGACGAAGGUUCCGUUUUUCCGACGAUUCAACGGAAGUGGAUCGGUGGUCAUCAACUUGGUUAACAGGUUCGGGUGUUUGGUUCGAGUUGUUUUGGAGCGGUUUGGUUCGGGUCUCGGUCAGCCAUGGUUCGGGUCUUGUUACGGAUGGGUCAACAAGUCAAGAUGUUCGGUUUCUGGUCAACAUUAGUCAGCGGGUUCGGUUGACUCGGUCAAACCUGGUCAACUCAGCGAGUCGACUCAGUCAACUCAGCUGGUCAACUCAGUUGACCCGGUCAACUCAGUUGACCCGGUCAACUCAGUUGACCCGGUCAACUCAGUCAGCGGUUCGAUGUCCGACACUAAGACUUGGUAAAAGUAAACAAUGCCUUUAACAGUUAUGUUUGUAUAUAGUUUGGUUAAAUACGCGAUAUCGAGAUCAAACCGAACGAAUUAGUAUUUAGUUUAUAUUUUGUUGCUUUUACAAAAGUUAUUUAUAUUGAUUAUUGAACAUUGAUUGAAUUUUGAAAAAAAUAACGACAACUUGUGUUGUCGGGGGCGUCCAAAAACAGAGGAAACUCUGCCUGUUUUUCGAGAAAAUCCGUAAAACAAAACGCGUUUUAUUAUCAAACAAAUGAUCGGAUUCAAAUAUACUUUUAGAAAAACAAAUACAAACCGAUAAUUACUUUCGGCGACACUUUAUAACUUACAAAAACGACGAUGACGCAAACUAUUUUACAAAAUAAAUAUAAUUAUUAUAUUUAUCUCAAACGUUAAACUCGAAUUCUUUUUAUAAAUAAAUAUUGUUACCUAUUUAUUUCCGACACAAACAAAUCCAUUCUCUUAUAAAAGUAAAUAUAGUUAUAUAUUUAUCUUCAAACACUACAAGUCAACGAUUCUUUUAUAAAGUGAAUAUAACUUCUACAUUUAUUUCAAACGCCUAAACAACACAUUUAAUACGAGUUCAUUGUAUAUUAUUCGUUACAUACACGUACGAUUCCUUGGGACGUCUUACGCGAUUAUAACAAUAUAUUUUUAUAUUUUUAUAUAGAUAUUUAUAUAUUUUAACAUCUUUCGAGAACUAAGUAUUCCAAGACUUAGUAAUCUUAUCGACAAUAAAUGAAACUUAACGAAUAUAACUUAGUCAUUUUCGUUAAGUUAACAAUUUACCGUCAAAUCGUUCGGUCAACGAUUCGGUAGUGCUCAGUGACAGGUAGUUUAGUUACCGCUUUUGGUUAGAAACUUAUAAUAUAUUCCGUGUUAGGAAUGUUGUAGAAUGCACGCUAGCGAGUCUCCUCUUGGAAACGACAUCACGAAGUCGUAAUUAGCUAGCUUUGCACAAGGCAAUCCAGGUUACUUUUCAAAGUUAUGGCAUGGUUGGAAUAGGAGAACCAUUGGAGAUUUAAGUACGUAGUGGCGUUCGUUUUCUAAAAGUCUUAGCUUAUUUUCUUCCGCUGUGCAAUGAAGAUACCAGUCCAGUCAGGCCAAAGCUCUGAUAAUUUCGGGGUGUGACAGUUGGAUCUAGUUUCUUGCCAUCUUAGCUAUUGUUACCGACAUAAUUGAGCCGGAAAUUACCAACGGAGGAAUCGAGGUCAACAUGACGAGUGUAAGAAGCCAUCCCUUGACGAAUGCUAUCACAAAACCACCUAUGAAUGUUGAAAACAACUGUGUGAAUUUUGCAACCUGGAAAUUGGAAAAUAUUUUAUUAGUUUUUCCGCCAAUGUAUAUAUAUUAAGAUUAAAAAUGAAAAGUUUAUACACAAACCUUUUCCCCCA
RNA transcript from Helianthus annuus (common sunflower), 2549 nucleotides. RefSeq lists it as uncharacterized. The record is from RefSeq and is a predicted model, not a curated record. The transcript has 2 exons. NCBI's taxonomy places the organism in Eukaryota, Viridiplantae, Streptophyta, Magnoliopsida, Asterales, Asteraceae.